This 75-nucleotide transfer RNA is filed under the name Burkholderia ubonensis. RNAcentral's name for it is "tRNA-Val". It matches the Rfam family "tRNA". Rfam says of the family: Transfer RNA (tRNA) molecules are approximately 80 nucleotides in length. The record is from RNAcentral. Lineage: Bacteria; Pseudomonadati; Pseudomonadota; Betaproteobacteria; Burkholderiales; Burkholderiaceae.
GGGUACUUAGCUCAGGGGUAGAGCAUCGUCGUGACAAGGCGAAGGCCGGGGGUUCGAGACCCUCAGUACCUACCA